Triticum dicoccoides is the source of this 1957-nucleotide long non-coding RNA. RefSeq lists it as uncharacterized. The transcript has 4 exons. Lineage: Eukaryota; Viridiplantae; Streptophyta; Magnoliopsida; Poales; Poaceae. The record is from RefSeq and is a predicted model, not a curated record.
UUUGGGGUGUUGCAUCUGAUAAGAUCUCAUCAGUAGUGGUUUCGAUUUUGAUGUUUUAUCUUUCCUAGAAUCUCGGAAGCACACUUAGGUUGGAAACACGCCGGUAGCAUUUAUUUAUCUUUAUUUGUUGCUAUUUGAGUUAGUUUGCUGCUUGGAUAUCAUGCCAUACCAGCUCUAACAUCCAUGCAUAUGAUUUCUCCAGGGUCAUAUUCUGAAUAAUAGUGCAAGGUACUUUGAGUUAAUGUUCUGCAAAUUAGUGCAUCUGGAACGCUAGGAUGUGUGGGAACACAAAGGAGUUGGUGUGUGCCUCCAUUGCGGCUUAGGAUGUUUACGGUGGUCUUUCUUUUUUAUCUGAAUGGAGAGGGCCGCUGGUUCUUGAUCUUUAGGUUAACCAGUUUUUUUAUGUUGCGUGCUCAUGCUGCCCUAUGUUUUCUUUCUUGAUCUGAAUGGAGAGAGUGCCACUGGUUCUUGAUCUUAAGGUGACCCAAUUUUUUAUGUUGCGUGCUCAUGCUGCUCUCUGUUUUCUUUUAAUACUUCUUGCUUGCUAUUUUAUUGUUGUUAGGAAUGCCGUGUUAAUUUAGUUUCCUACUACUUUGAUCUGUCAAGUAUAUUAAAAACUUUGUAAGUUCUAAUGUAUCAACAAGAAUCUGCGGAUGCUUCUUUUCUUCUUGGGUUCUUAAAAAAGCACAAAGGUGGUCCAUCUUGAACUGUAAUUUGUUCGGUGCUGUUUUUCUAAUUCCCUACGAAAUUAUUAGUCAUUUUGGUGUUUGGAGGUACACUGUCAAGGUGACUAAUAAACUUUUUUCCUUUUACAAUGUACAAUGCAUAUAUAAGUUAAUAUUAUGUACUUUUGUAAAUGAAGUUACUAUAGUUGAGAGCAUGGAUAUGGCCCUUCCAAAGCUCUAUGCAGCAGAGAACGGCGGGCGUGGCGGAGCGACCCCGUGGGAGGACACGUCGGCCUGCUGCUACGAGUGAGGUGCGGCAAGCCACACUUCCUGUCAAGUGGUUAUCUUUUGUGAUCUCAUGAACCUACUAAACUCGAUGCUACCUUAUGAUAACCUUAUGGUGAUGUUGAACUCCAUAAUUUCUUGCUUCUAUCAUAUGUGAAUGUUUCUUCUUAUUUUUAUUUAGUUAUAUUCUGUUUGAGUAAGUAUGUUAAACGUGGGUUACUACUAAUUUGAGCAUUUCCUGCAUAACCACAACGUUGGGACCGGCACCCUUGCGCCAAGGCGUGUUGCCGAUCUAGUAAUCUAUGCACCCACGAGGUCCAGGCGACAAACCUCCGGUCGAUCCGAAAAAAAUGGUGUAAAAAAAAUCUACGAAAAUUAACCAGACGAGCAAGCGAGGCCUCCAGGGUGCCCUCGAGCGAGAACGAUGCCACACCACCAGAUCCCUUCGCCGCUGCCUCGCCCUCGCAUCCCUGCGCCACUUCGCCGCCGCUGAGAUCCGAGAAGAGUCGACCUUCGCCGCCAAGAUCCCGUGCCUUUCUACAUAUCCCUCUCACUCCUCUUCGCCCAUCCACGUAGAUCGAAACCCGUCGCCCCUCUGUCGCUGCUGGUGCUCGAGGGAAGACGAGGGCGGCUCCUCCCGGCGAUUCCCCAUGGUCCUCGGCGAUUCCUCCCGGCGAUUCCCCAUGGUCCUCCGCGGUGGUGACGGUUAGCUGCAUCGAAAAGACAAUGGGGCGAUGGGCGCCGGGGUCGGGCACUGCUGGUCAGCGGAAGGCGCUCGCUACUACCUGGCUCCACUUGGACACCACCGGGUUAAGCCUUGGCGUCGACCUGGGCGCCGCUGCCUUUGCAACUGCUCCUCGCUGCUGAGUAGUUGUGCGUUAUAUCUUUCCCGCUUCAUACAUGAACAUGCCUGACUGUUUCCUGAAAUGUGACACUUAUUUGUUGAAAUACUUAUGUCAUGAUUUGGGAUUGCUUGUUUAGAAGCUUCCAUGAUAUCAUUUCCUUCA